Molecule: ribosomal RNA, 1659 nt
Filed under: Paraburkholderia polaris
Lineage: Bacteria; Pseudomonadati; Pseudomonadota; Betaproteobacteria; Burkholderiales; Burkholderiaceae
Description: Paraburkholderia sp. RP-4-7 partial 23S ribosomal RNA
Rfam family: Bacterial large subunit ribosomal RNA
Source: RNAcentral
GAAGCGAACGCGGUGAACUGAAACAUCUAAGUAACCGCAGGAAAAGAAAUCAACCGAGAUUCCCAGAGUAGUGGCGAGCGAAAUGGGACCAGCCUGUACUCUUUAUCUUCAUUGUUAGUCGAAGGCUCUGGAAAGUGCCGCCAUAGCAGGUGAUAGCCCUGUAGACGAAAACAGCGAGGAAGAACUGGGUGUACGACAAGUAGGGCGGGACACGUGAAAUCCUGUCUGAAGAUGGGGGGACCAUCCUCCAAGGCUAAAUACUCGUGAUCGACCGAUAGUGAACCAGUACCGUGAGGGAAAGGCGAAAAGAACCCCGGGAGGGGAGUGAAAUAGAUCCUGAAACCGCAUGCAUACAAACAGUAGGAGCCUCGCAAGGGGUGACUGCGUACCUUUUGUAUAAUGGGUCAGCGACUUACAUUCAGUGGCAAGCUUAACCGAUUAGGGCAGGCGUAGCGAAAGCGAGUCCGAACAGGGCGUUCAGUCGCUGGGUGUAGACCCGAAACCAGGUGAUCUAUCCAUGGCCAGGAUGAAGGUGCGGUAACACGUACUGGAGGUCCGAACCCACUAACGUUGAAAAGUUAGGGGAUGAGCUGUGGAUAGGGGUGAAAGGCUAAACAAACCUGGAAAUAGCUGGUUCUCUCCGAAAACUAUUUAGGUAGUGCCUCGUGUAUCACCUUCGGGGGUAGAGCACUGUCAUGGUUGUGGGGUCCAUUGCGGAUUACUACGCCAUAGCAAACUCCGAAUACCGAAGAGUGCAAUCACGGGAGACAGACAUCGGGUGCUAACGUCCGGUGUCAAGAGGGAAACAACCCAGACCGCCAGCUAAGGUCCCCAAAUAUUGCUAAGUGGGAAACGAAGUGGGAAGGCUAAAACAGUCAGGAGGUUGGCUUAGAAGCAGCCAUCCUUUAAAGAAAGCGUAAUAGCUCACUGAUCGAGUCGUCCUGCGCGGAAGAUGUAACGGGGCUAAGCAAUAUACCGAAGCUGCGGAUGCACACUAGUGUGCAUGGUAGGAGAGCGUUCCGUAAGCCUGCGAAGGUGCAUUGAAAAGUGCGCUGGAGGUAUCGGAAGUGCGAAUGCUGACAUGAGUAGCGAUAAAGGGGGUGAAAGGCCCCCUCGCCGUAAGCCCAAGGUUUCCUACGCAACGUUCAUCGGCGUAGGGUGAGUCGGCCCCUAAGGCGAGGCAGAAAUGCGUAGCUGAUGGGAAGCAGGUUAAUAUUCCUGCACCAUUGUUAAAUGCGAUGGGGGGACGGAUCGCGGAAGGUUGUCCGGGUGUUGGAAGUCCCGGUUCCUGUGUUGGAGAAGGCGCUUAGGCAAAUCCGGGCGCGGAAUUCAAGGGCAUGGGACGAGCCGCUUAGGCGGUGAAGCAACUGGAAGUGGUUCCAAGAAAAGCCUCUAAGCUUCAGUUUAACAAGACCGUACCGCAAACCGACACAGGUGGGCGAGAUGAGUAUUCUAAGGCGCUUGAGAGAACUCGGGAGAAGGAACUCGGCAAAUUGGUACCGUAACUUCGGGAUAAGGUACGCCCCUGUAGCUUGACUCGCCUGCGCGAGAAGGGUGAAGGGGUUGCAAUAAACUGGUGGCUGCGACUGUUUAAUAAAAACACAGCACUCUGCAAACACGAAAGUGGACGUAUAGGGUGUGACGCCUGCCCGGUGCCGG